Molecule: ribosomal RNA, 403 nt
Filed under: Fusobacteriota bacterium
Lineage: Bacteria; Fusobacteriati; Fusobacteriota
Description: Fusobacteria bacterium partial 16S ribosomal RNA
Rfam family: Bacterial small subunit ribosomal RNA
Source: RNAcentral
UGGGGAAUUUUGCACAAUGGAGGAAACUCUGAUGCAGCGACACCGCGUGAGUGAUGAAGAUCUUCGGAUUGUAAAACUCUGUCCUUAGUGAAGAUAAUGACAGUAACUAAGAAGCAAGCCCUGGCUAAAUACGUGCCAGCAGCCGCGGUAAUACGUAUGGGGCAAGCGUUGUCCGGAAUUAUUGGGCGUAAAGGGUACGUAGGCGGUUUAAUAAGUCCUAAUUAAAAGGCUAUGGCUCAACCAUAGUAUGGUUAGGAAACUGUUGAACUUGAGUAGAUGAGGGGAAAGUGGAAUUCCAUGUGUAGCGGUGAAAUGCGUAGAUAUAUGGAGGAACACCAAUGGCGAAGGCAACUUUCUGGAAUCAAACUGACGCUGAGGUACGAAGGCGUGGGGAGCAAACAGG